This 256-nucleotide long non-coding RNA is filed under the name Carica papaya (papaya). RNAcentral describes it as "long non-coding RNA (CPAP_LNC003251)". The record is from RNAcentral. Lineage: Eukaryota; Viridiplantae; Streptophyta; Magnoliopsida; Brassicales; Caricaceae.
UCAUCUUGGGUUAAUAUGAACCGUUCAUCGCAUUUAAUCUCAACCGUUUGAUCGCGUCUAAAGAAGAAACAAAUUUGUCCCGUUCAUCGCGUUUGAUCUCGACUGUCUAAUCGCGCAUAAGGAGAAAACGGAUUCAGACCAUACAUGCGCACAGGAUCGCUUCUGGGCCGUUCGAUCGUGGGGCAAGCGGAUCACCAGUAUGUCCUCACGCGUGGCACCGAGUCAGUGUGCCUUACCACGCGACGCACUUCGAUUC